ACACACACACACACACACGUAUAUAUAUAUAUAUAUAUAUAGUAGCUAUCCAUUCUAUCGUGUUAUUUUUAUUACAUUUUUUUGCUUUUUAGUGUUAACGAUUUUAAAUGUAUUCAAGAACUAGAAAUAGCACAGGAUUAUCAUGGAUCAAUUGAGUAUCCAUUAAAGGUAACGUCCCUAUUCAAUGUAAGUUACCUGACUCUUUAUUUUUAUGAGAAUUAUGGAGCAGAAACAACAAAAAUAUUUUAUAUAGGUAUUUAUAUAUAUAUAUAAAUUAUGAGGACUAUGCUGCACUUGUGUUUUUUGUUUUUAAAGUUACACUACUAUUAAUACUUGUACAUAUGUAUG
Molecule: long non-coding RNA, 348 nt
Filed under: Piliocolobus tephrosceles (Ugandan red Colobus)
Lineage: Eukaryota; Metazoa; Chordata; Mammalia; Primates; Cercopithecidae
Description: lncRNA (ENSPTEG00000010961.1)
Source: RNAcentral